GGGAGUGUGUAUAUGGGUGGCUUAUGUAUGUUUUCGUAUCACAGUUAGGUUUACUUUAUAAACAGAAUUUAGAAGUUUCCUUCUUUUUCUGUGCUUUGGAACAGAAUCAAAAGCAGCCUGCUCAUCCGUUCCUAAAGGUUUCACAACAGAAUUCCCCCAGUGAAAUAAUUUCCGUCUGGUGUUUUUGUGAAUAGUGAUGGGGGGAGUACAGUUCUCUGACAAUGUCUAUUGCUUCUGUGAUCAUUGGUCUGCUUAGAAUUUCUGUCUCUUCUGGGAUGUUUGUGUAAAUCAUAUUUUCUUGAAACAUCAUCCAUUUCAUCCAGGGUUUCAAAUUUAUUUUCAUAGAGUUGAAGAAAGAAAUCUUUUAUAAUUGUUUUCUUUUUUUCUGUAUCUAUGAUUACUUCACCUUAUUUGAUGUUUUGAAUGUGCUUUUGCCCUUUGUUUUCUGGUUGUUAAUUUUAUUCUACUGCUGCUUUUCCAACUCUUAGGUUUGUUAGAAUACUCGGUUCUGUUCUCUAAAUCAUUAAUUCAUUCUUUCAUUCUUACUAAUUCUUUUCUCCUGUUUUUCUUAGGUUUUUAUUUUUUCCUCAUCUUCUGAAUUGGUUAUUUUCUAUUUUCCUUUGAGGACUACUUUAGAGCGCCACACAAGCGCUGAUGUUCUUUCUGUCCUGUCAGCUUGGUUUUGAGUGGAUCGAAAGUAGGAAUUUUAAUGACUUUUUUUUUGGACAGGAAUCCCACACUCAUUUUUAUCCCACAUCACCGCCUCCCCCUCUUUCUCCUCGGAGCUGUUUUAAUGAUGAAGGUCGCCGAGGAGGUUCUUCGCCCUGGCGCGGGAGGCGGCAGGAGAGGCCUCCCGUGGCCUCCGCCUCUUUCUCGCCCCGCAGGCGGCGGGAGGCACCGGCUGCGCAGGGGGCGCGCGGAGGCUGAGCCACGCAGAGCUCCCCGCCGGGUGCGGGACCCGCAGGCGCGGGCUCGGGCGCUGCACGCCCGCGGGCACGCGCACUCCCGGGUGACGGCGCAGACGCCGCGGCCCGCGGCCUCCUGGGUUUGGAUUCCUGCUGGCUCUCACCUGGACGGGGCCGGGGGAGGUGAAGAUGCUCCAGACGCAGAGUUGAGGCCUGAUUCGGGGAUAUCUGGGGCGCUGUGGUACAUUAGAGAGCACGGCGGCGGCUCUGCCGCGUCGGUGCUGCUGGCGGCGGAGAGGAACCCUUCGCGGCGUCUCCCGAGCCUGCUGCGCGCGGAGAUCCAAAAAGUAAUUCAGGCACUUGCCGACCAAAUGGGAGCAACUCCUCUUGCCUGCACUAUAGAAUCCAUUUUCAAAGUGAAAUGCAAAAACUGCAGGCUGAGGCAAUACUUGCUACUGUGGUUCUCCAGGGAGAACAUUAGAUGCACGAAAGAAAAAAAAUUUUGUGGGGACAUGGACCAGAAGGAAAGAGAUUUAUCAGGAGGCAAUUGAGAUUAGGGACCAGCUGAGUUUUGAUGGUUACUGACUUACUGCCAACACUUUGUGUUUAUUCUGGCUCAUGGACUGCCAGCGCCCCAGAGGCUCAGAGUUGUGUCUUCCCAACCCACUGCUGGACUUGGGCCCAGACUAGAGUCAACUAUUCCAUCCAUUUUCCAAGAACGCAACUGUCACAG
Dasypus novemcinctus (nine-banded armadillo) is the source of this 1638-nucleotide long non-coding RNA. The record is from Ensembl. NCBI's taxonomy places the organism in Eukaryota, Metazoa, Chordata, Mammalia, Cingulata, Dasypodidae.